GGCUCGUUGGUCUAGGGGUAUGAUUCUUGCUUUGGGUGCGAGAGGUCCCGGGUUCAAAUCCAGGUCGAGCCC
This 72-nucleotide transfer RNA is filed under the name Danionella translucida. It matches the Rfam family "tRNA". Rfam says of the family: Transfer RNA (tRNA) molecules are approximately 80 nucleotides in length. The record is from Rfam by way of RNAcentral. Lineage: Eukaryota; Metazoa; Chordata; Actinopteri; Cypriniformes; Danionidae. RNAcentral also lists the same sequence under 1 other name.